AGGAUACUUAUUUACCUAUAGCUAGAGGUUGGAUAGAUAGAUGGAUGCUUUAUUGAUCCCCAAAGGGAAAUUCAAGAAUGAAUGUUGAAUGUUGAGAGGAGGUAUGAUAAGGUAUGAUAAAGUUAAUUUCAUAAAAUUCAUUUAGUAAAUUUUAAUAUUACACUUUUGAUAAAGUUACAGUGCUAAAGGAUAUUAAAAUGCAUGGAGACAAUUAACUGGAAGUAUGUUUUGGUGGUGAGGAAUGGCAUAACAUAUUAGACCAUUCACUGUGGAAUGCAGCAUAUGGACAGUAAGAGCUUCAAAGUUAUAGAAUUCUAUAAGAUAAUUACUCUAGUAAUGUUUAGAGAAACUGGGUAAGCUGACUAAUGGUAAAGGGAAUGCCAUGGUCAACCAAGUAAGUAUGGAAAUUUGAUAUUCACCUAUAAGGUAAUAAGUAGUGUUACAGAAACCCCAGGCUAAAGUAAAAGGGAUCAGUUGGUAAACAGUACAAUGAAAAAGUGUUGCAGAAAAGUGGUUGAGAGAAUGAGGAAAUAUACAGAUUUAUGGCCUAUACAAGAAUUAAUGGAUUUAGCACUGUAACAAAGGUCAGGGAUUACAUGAAAAUUGACAAUAGUAGAGCUAUAAGAAGAAUAGGUCAGCCAUAGUGGAAAUAGUAGGAGAAAGAGGUAUUUAAAAUGCUCAAAAACAUCUUGACAUUUUGAUAGAUUAAUACAAUAGGAGAUAAGAGGCAGAAGUAAGGAGAUGACUUGGGAGUGAGUGACCAUAACUGUAGGAAUAAUAAUAGAUGCAGAUGUUAUAGGAAGAAAUAAGGGAUACAAUGUACAGUUAAUGGUAAAUUACAAAAGGGCAAGAUAAAGUAGAUGAUAGAUCAAGAGUAAUCUAGUAAAUACUACAAUCUGCCUGCAGCAUGAUUUCCUCAUCCCCUCCAGCUAAACAGUAAAUGUAAUGCUGCCUCUUAUAUCUAAGGGGGGAAAGGCUCAUUACCAGACGUGUGAGGACAUGCUGAUGUGCAGGGGUUAAUCCAAGUACUCCCUGUCCUGACUGAGUUCUGAGCAAGUUCAGCACAACAGUGCUAAGCGACAAACUGAAAAGAGACUCUGAGGCCUUUGUUAAGGCAACAGUGGCAAGCUGGAGAGCAAAAGAGGGAACUUGGAAGUGCAAUGGAAGCGCUUGCAGCAUCAAAAAGACAAUACAGGCACCUAUGGUGACCUAAGGCUUCAAGCCUAGGGAAACCAGUAGCAGCACCAUCCUCAACACUAUGGCAGUAGGAGGAACCAUCACAGGUGUUCCCAAACCUGUCAGUCUACUGGCCUAUGGAUAACUAUUAUAGUGGGCACAGUCAAGCCCAUGGCAGCCACAAUCUCCACGUCAGUGGGGAUGGAGACUCAGACAAGAUGGGAAUAACUAAGGCAGAGUGAGAGGAAAUUACAGAGGAGGCAUCAUGUGAGAAUGGACAUCUGAAGCAAGACAAUCAUCAGUUUGUUUUGACUGUCAAAGAAGUGGACAAAAGAAACAGGACAGGGAGAGGGAGGAGACAUCCAGGCACUGAAGGAUGACCCCAACGAGCAUGCCUUCCUUUUCCCUUGUGAAAUAGCAUAGUUUUAAGGAGGCCUAAAGAAUUCUACAAGAGAAGGGGGAUACCAAUACUAUCAAAGGGAGUUGAUGAGGAAACCAUGCUGAGGGACUCUCUUAUGGGUGAGCCCACCUGAUACGCAAUGAUGCCCUGACUAGGUACAGAGAAGGUAGUUAAGACAUCUCUGGAAAUAGAAAAGCUGGUGGAAAGAUGUUGGUCUUCAUGGAAGGAAUGGAGGUCCACCAACUCUAUUCUGUUAAUCACUGUAACAAAGGGGGGCGAACCCCUGGUAGAAUGUUAAAUUGUAUGAUUUGUUACAUUUGUUACCUUGGGUUACAGAUUUUUUAUAAUUUUUCACUGUCAUUAUUUGAUUAAUGUUUUAGUUGAACGUCCCUUUGGAAAAAAAAAAAAAAAAGAGUCUGCUGAAUACUGUAACUUUAAUGGUUAGUGGCAUUUAUAUGAUACUAACCAGAUACUUUCCCAACAGAUACUUGAUAUGGUGCUUUCCUUUGCGCAUAGUUGGGAUCUAUGCGCAAGGGGGGAGUAGGAAAGAGGAAUAUUUUUAUUGAAGGAUUUUCAUAGUUACAGGAAGUUAUUGAUGAUAGUCUAACAGAUGUCAUGUGUAUAGUCAUAAUAUCAGGAAAGUGAUAGUGUUGUCUAAACCAUUAGGUCCCAGAAGGAUCAU
This is a long non-coding RNA of Alosa sapidissima (American shad), 2258 nucleotides long. RefSeq lists it as uncharacterized. The transcript has 2 exons. The record is from RefSeq and is a predicted model, not a curated record. Lineage: Eukaryota; Metazoa; Chordata; Actinopteri; Clupeiformes; Clupeidae.